RNAcentral lists this ribosomal RNA (308 nucleotides) under uncultured eukaryote. Its description in RNAcentral is "partial 18S ribosomal RNA". It matches the Rfam family "Eukaryotic small subunit ribosomal RNA", at positions 1470 to 1796 of the family's 1831-position model. The record is from RNAcentral.
CCCUUAGACGUUCUGGGCCGCACGCGCGCUGCACUGACGAAGGCAACGAGCUUUCCUUUACCGAAAGGUACGGGUAAUCUUUUGAAACUUCGUCGUGCUGGGGAUAGAUCCUUGCAAUUAUUGAUCUUAAACGAGGAAUUCCUAGUAAGCGCAAGUCAUCAACUUGCGUUGAUUACGUCCCUGCCCUUUGUACACACCGCCCGUCGCUACUACCGAUUGAAUGGUUUAGUGAGGCCUUCGGAUCCGCGACUCGUUUUGUGGAGAAGUUGGACAAACUCAGUCAUUUAGAGGAAGUAAAAGUCGUAACA